CGGGAAGCCUGAUGCAGCGACGCCGCGUGAGGGAUGACGGCCUUCGGGUUGUAAACCUCUUUCAGGAGGGACGAAGCUACUCGGGUUAAUAGCCCAGAGGGUGACGGUACCUCCAGAAGAAGCCCCGGCUAACUACGUGCCAGCAGCCGCGGUAAUACGUAGGGGGCAAGCGUUGUCCGGAAUCAUUGGGCGUAAAGCGCGUGUAGGCGGCCAGAAAAGUCCGCUGUAAAAACUCGAGGCUCAACUUCGAGCUGUCGGUGGAAACUUUCUGGCUAGAGUCCGGAAGAGGAGAAUGGAAUUCCUGGUGUAGCGGUGAAAUGCGCAGAUAUCAGGAAGAACACCCGUGGCGAAGGCGGUUCUCUGGGACGGUACUGACGCUGAGACGCGAAAGCGUGGGGAGCGAACAGGAUUAGAUACCCUGGUAGUCCACGCCGUAAACGAUGGGUGCUAGGUGUGGGGGGUGUCGACUCCCUCCGUGCCGAAGCUAACGCAUUAAGCACCCCGCCUGGGGAGUACGGCCGCAAGGCUA
RNAcentral lists this ribosomal RNA (529 nucleotides) under uncultured Actinomycetes bacterium. RNAcentral's name for it is "bacterial SSU rRNA". It matches the Rfam family "Bacterial small subunit ribosomal RNA", at positions 376 to 896 of the family's 1533-position model. The record is from RNAcentral. Lineage: Bacteria; Bacillati; Actinomycetota; Actinomycetes.